RNAcentral lists this long non-coding RNA (431 nucleotides) under Salmo salar (Atlantic salmon). RNAcentral describes it as "lncRNA (ENSSSAG00000083478.1)". The record is from RNAcentral. Lineage: Eukaryota; Metazoa; Chordata; Actinopteri; Salmoniformes; Salmonidae.
GUGUAUAGAGGUGGUGUGUAUAGAGGUGGUGUGUAUAGAGGUGGUGUAUAUAGAGGUGGUGUGUAUAGAGGUGGUGUGUAUAGAGGUGGUGUGUAUAGAGGUGAUGUGUAUAGAGGUGGUGUAUAUAGAGGUGGUGUAUAUAGAGGUGGUGUAUAUAGAGGUGGUGUGUAUAGAGGUGGUGUAUAUAGAGGUGGUGUGUAUGGAGGUGGUGUGUAUGGAGGUGGUGUGUAUAGAGGUGGUGUAUAUAGAGGUGGUGUAUAUAGAGGUGGUGUAUAUAGAGGUGGUGUGUAUAGAUGUGGUGUGUAUAGAGGUGGUGUGUAUAGAGGUGGUGUAUAUAGAGGUGGUGUAUAUAGAGGUGGUGUAUAUAGAGGUGGUGUAUAUAGAGGUGGUGUGUAUAGAGGUGGUGUAUAUAGAGGUGGUGUGUAUAGAGG